CAGUCGCCGCGGGAAUACGUAGGUGGCAAGCGUUGUCCGGAAUUAUUGGGCGUAAAGGGCUCGCAGGCGGUUUCUUAAGUCUGAUGUGAAAGCCCCCGGCUCAACCGGGGAGGGUCAUUGGAAACUGGGAAACUUGAGUGCAGAAGGGGAGAGUGGAAUUCCAUGUGUAGCGGCGAAAUGCGUAGAUAUAUGGAGGAACACCGGUGGCGAAAGCGGCUCUCUGGUCUGUAACUGACGCUGAGGCUCGAAAGCGUGGGGAGGGAACAGGAUUAGAUACCCGCGUAGUCCCUGUCUCUUAUAC
This 301-nucleotide ribosomal RNA is filed under the name uncultured bacterium. RNAcentral's name for it is "partial 16S ribosomal RNA". It matches the Rfam family "Bacterial small subunit ribosomal RNA", at positions 509 to 807 of the family's 1533-position model. The record is from RNAcentral.